GAGGGGCGGAUCCCUCCAACCUGACGGCGAAACGUUUCCUAGACGUUGUCGUUGCUGAUAAGAAACUACGUUUCCCAGAAUGCAGCGAGGGUAGCGACCGGGCUACAUAAUAGAGACAGGUUUUCACCAUGUUGGCCAUGCUGGUCUCGAAUUCUGACCUCAAGUGAUCCGCCCGCCUCGGUCUUUCAAACUGCUGGGAUUACAGGCGUGAGUCAUCGCGCCCAGCCUUUACAGAAGUUCUUUCUACCGUCCAUCAACCAUUGCCACCACACCUUCUGCUUACAAGUUAUUUAUAAUAAGUUUGACUAAAAGAGAACAAGAGAACAUCCCCUGAAACCCAAAGUAUGUCAUUCUAUACAGCUUUCUCACCUGCGAAAGAGGAGGAGCAGACUCAUGCUGCAAAUCACCUAAAAAGUUUGAGGAUCAAAAAGUCUAGCUCCAGUUUCAGAUCCUCCCUCGACCUUUCUGAACACUAGUUUCUUCCUCUGAAAAACGAAAGAGGGAAUGGGACCGUAGAGUGGAGUGGGCACAAGAAUCGCAAGUUCCUUCAGGCUAUGAUGCUGCAAGACUCUAGGUACAGUUUAGGACUCUGGGCAUUCAGAUCCCCAGGACUUGUCAAGUUCUCCUCAUUGAAAUUUUUGAUAUUUUGUGACAACAGAAAUUCAUCACAUUUUUGUGCUGUGUGUUAUAUGUGGGAAGGAGAUUUCAAAAAGAUUGCCUUUUGAAGUUAUUGGAUAGCUGUGUUACAGAAGAAAAGACGUUUAUUUCAUUUUUGACUUUCCAAGAAAAGAAUAUGUAACACAUCAGAAUUCUUCUCUCCUCCCUGGCCUUAGUCGAGUACCUGAGGGGCUUUAAAGGGCUUCGUCCUUGCAAUCACUUACCCAGCAUAGUCCUUAAUACAGAUAUCUUCAGUGUUGAAUGAAUGAA
Molecule: long non-coding RNA, 927 nt
Organism: Rhinopithecus roxellana (golden snub-nosed monkey)
Lineage: Eukaryota; Metazoa; Chordata; Mammalia; Primates; Cercopithecidae
Exons: 2
Source: RefSeq, a predicted model, not a curated record